This 59-nucleotide transfer RNA is filed under the name Cyrtodactylus auribalteatus (Golden-belted bent-toed gecko). RNAcentral's name for it is "tRNA Cys". Lineage: Eukaryota; Metazoa; Chordata; Lepidosauria; Squamata; Gekkonidae. The record is from RNAcentral.
CGCCCCGUGGAAAGCCAAAGUGCAAAUUUGGAUAAGCACCCUAAAAGGUGCCGGGGCUU